AGCAGCCGCGGUAAUUCCAGCUCCAAUAGCGUAUAUUAAAGUUGUUGCAGUUAAAAAGCUCGUAGUUGAAUUUCGGGAUUAAUAUGUCGGUCGUACUUUGUACGUACUAGCAUUAUUGGUUUCUCCCUUCUGACGAACCACGAUGUCAUUAAUUUGGUGUCGCGGGAAAUCAGGACUGUUACUUUGAAAAAAUUAGAGUGUUUAAAGCAGGCUCACGCUUGAAUACAUUAGCAUGGAAUAACGAAAUAGGACGUUUGAUUCUACUUUGUUGGUUUCUAGGAUCGACGUAAUGAUUAAUAGGGAUAGUUGGGGGCAUUAGUAUUCAAUUGUCAGAGGUGAAAUUCUUGGAUUUAUUGAAGACUAACUACUGCGAAAGCAUUUGCCAAGGAUGUUUUCAUUAAUCAAGAACGAAAGUUAGGGGAUCGAAGACGAUCAGAUACCGUCGUAGUC
Molecule: ribosomal RNA, 450 nt
Filed under: uncultured Glomeromycotina
Lineage: Eukaryota; Fungi; Glomeromycota
Description: SSU rRNA
Rfam family: Eukaryotic small subunit ribosomal RNA
Source: RNAcentral